CCUACGGGAGGCAGCAGUGGGGAAUAUUGCACAAUGGGGGAAACCCUGAUGCAGCGACGCCGCGUGAGUGAAGAAGGAAUUCGGUAUGUAAAGCUCUAUCAGCAGGGAAGAAAAGGACGGUACCUGAGUAAGAAGCCCCGGCUAACUACGGGCCAGCAGCCGCGGUAAUACGUAGGGGGCAAGCGUUAGCCGGAUUUACUGGGUUUAAAGGGAGCGUAGACGGCCGUGCAAGUCUGGAGUGAAAGGCGGGGGCUCAACCCCCGGACUGCUCUGGAAACUGUCCGGCUGGAGUGCAGGAGAGGUAAGUUGAAUUCCUCGUGUAGCGGUGAACUGCGUAGAUAUU
RNAcentral lists this ribosomal RNA (343 nucleotides) under uncultured bacterium. RNAcentral describes it as "partial 16S ribosomal RNA". It matches the Rfam family "Bacterial small subunit ribosomal RNA", at positions 338 to 698 of the family's 1533-position model. The record is from RNAcentral.